ACCCGCUGAACUUAAGCAUAUUAAUAAGCGGAGGAAAAGAAACUAACAAGGAUUCCCCUAGUAACGGCGAGUGAAGCGGGAUGAGCUCAAGCUUAAAAUCUCUGUCACAUAUUUAUUAUGUGCGGCGAAUUGUAGUCUAUAGAAGCGUGGUCAGUGUAGGCACUUGAGAUAAGUUCCUUGAAAAAGGACAGCAUGGAGGGUGAAACUCCCGUUCAUACUUGAGUAGCUUAUGCGUACGACCCGUUUUCCUUGAGUCGCGUUGUUUGAGAAUGCAGCGCAAAGUAGGUGGUAAAUUCCAUCUAAAGCUAAAUAUUGGUGCGAGACCGAUAGCGAACAAGUACCGUGAGGGAAAGAUGAAAAGAACUUUGAAAAGAGAGUUAAAGAGUACCUGAAACUGCUGAAAGGGAACCGGAUCGUUUCUAGUGUCUAUAAUCCGUGAUAUAUUUCAUUGGGGAGUGUGUGCGUGUGUAUACUAUGGCAGUGGCUUUUUUGGCUGCGCUUGGUGUGCGUGCUGUAUGUGCUUUCUGGUGCUCUGUGUUGCGGUGGGACGUCAAGGUCGGUUUGUAUACUGCGGGAAAUGGCUAUUGAGGAGGGUAGGGCUUACGCUUGCGUUUGUCUAUUAUAUCUUGGUAGUUGUGUCGUGGUUGAGACUGAGGUGUCUAAAACGUGCUUAUGAGUGGGACUGUGUCUCCGUGUGCGCCGUGUGCGGAUAGCUUGCUAUGUGUGUGUGGUGGUGUGUGGAUUGAUGCGGGCUUUAACUUGUUGCCGUUCGGGACGUUGGCGAAAUAGAGCGAUUUGACCCGUCUUGAAACACGGACCAAGGAGUCUAACAUGUGUGCAAGUGUUAGGGUGUGGAAACCCAAGCGCGAAAUGAAAGUAAAGGAUAGUGUAAACUGUCUGAGGUAGGAAAUGCUGCGGAUUUCGGUCUGUGGUGUGGCACUAUCGACCGAUCAUGAACCUUCGUGGUGAAAGAUUUGAGUUUGAGCACAUAUGUUGGUACCCGAAAGAUGGUGAACUAUGCCUGAGUAGGGUGAAGCCAGGGGAAACUCUGGUGGAAGCUCGUAGCGAUUCUGACGUGCAA
This 1081-nucleotide ribosomal RNA is filed under the name Hyaloperonospora parasitica. RNAcentral describes it as "LSU rRNA". It matches the Rfam family "Eukaryotic large subunit ribosomal RNA", at positions 23 to 896 of the family's 3401-position model. Lineage: Eukaryota; Oomycota; Peronosporomycetes; Peronosporales; Peronosporaceae. The record is from RNAcentral.